Molecule: ribosomal RNA, 497 nt
Filed under: uncultured bacterium
Lineage: Bacteria
Description: partial 16S ribosomal RNA
Rfam family: Bacterial small subunit ribosomal RNA
Source: RNAcentral
GACGAACGCUGGCGGCGUGCCUAAUACAUGCAAGUAGAACGCUGAAGAGAGGAGCUUGCUCUUCUUGGAUGAGUUGCGAACGGGUGAGUAACGCGUAGGUAACCUUCCUUGUAGCGGGGGAUAACUAUUGGAAACGAUAGCUAAUACCGCAUAACAAUGGAUGACACAUGUUAUUUAUUUGAAAGGGGCAAUUGCUCCACUACAAGAUGGACCUGCGUUGUAUUAGCUAGUAGGUGAGGUAAUGGCUCACCUAGGCGACGAUACAUAGCCGACCUGAGAGGGGGAGAGGCCAAACUGAGACUGAGACACGGCCCAGACCCCUACGGGAGGUAGCAGUAGGGAAUCUUGGGAAAUGGGGGCGACCCUGACCGAGAAAGGCCGGGUGGGUGAAGAAGGGUUUCGGAUCGUGAAGCGCUGUUGCAAGUAAAGAACGGGUGUGAGAGUGGAAAGUUCACACUGUGACGGUAGCUUACCAGAAAGGGACGGCUAACUACGUG